GACGAACGCUGGCGGCGUGCCUAAUACAUGCAAGUAGAACGCUGAAGGAGGAGCUUGCUCUUCUGGAUGAGUUGCGAACGGGUGAGUAACGCGUAGGUAACCUGCCUGGUAGCGGGGGAUAACUAUUGGAAACGAUAGCUAAUACCGCAUAACAGUAGAUGUUGCAUGACAUUUGCUUAAAAGGUGCAAUUGCACCACUACCAGAUGGACCUGCGUUGUAUUAGCUAGUUGGUGGGGUAACGGCUCACCAAGGCGACGAUACAUAGCCGACCUGAGAGGGUGAUCGGCGACACUGGGACUGAGACACGGCCCAGACUCCUACGGGAGGCAGCAGUAGGGAAUCUUCGGCAAUGGACGGAAGUCUGACCGAGCAACGCCGCGUGAGUGAAGAAGGUUUUCGGAUCGUAAAGCUCUGUUGUAAGAGAAGAACGAGUGUGAGAGUGGAAAGUUCACACUGUGACGGUAUCUUACCAGAAAGGGACGGCUAACUACGUG
RNAcentral lists this ribosomal RNA (495 nucleotides) under uncultured bacterium. RNAcentral describes it as "partial 16S ribosomal RNA". It matches the Rfam family "Bacterial small subunit ribosomal RNA", at positions 28 to 507 of the family's 1533-position model. The record is from RNAcentral.